Non-coding RNA from Nylanderia fulva, 2627 nucleotides. The record is from RefSeq and is a predicted model, not a curated record. NCBI's taxonomy places the organism in Eukaryota, Metazoa, Arthropoda, Insecta, Hymenoptera, Formicidae.
AUUAUAAUAUUAUAUAUUUUUAUCGUUGAUUUACAAUCGGUUGUGUAAGCUCUGUAGCUGCAGUGCAAACGGUGACUACGCGUACUUGUCCGUCUUCGCCAGGAUGUGUCCGGAUGAUACUAAAGACCAUUUCGUCAACGGUAAUGUCUCGUUACGGACGAGGCAUAGACGACCAACAGUAGCGCUGACGGAUCAUUGCAAGAGUCAGCUGAGCUCCGCCGUGAAGUGAACGUCGGUGACAUGCAUCGACAACUAAUCGAGUGAAAGUUGAGUCGCUCGGCAGAAUUAAAGGAUGACGCUCGUCGAAAGCCAAGAUUGCAUGCUUCAGACGACCACCAAUUCGCAGGAUUCUUCUGUGGGCUGAAUCUGGUUACAACAGCGUGAGAUUCAGUCAUUGCUUCUAGAAGAUCUUCGUUUACAUUUGCUUCGAUUUGAGAAAGCCAAGUAGAUGGAGAGUCAUUUAAUCAAAAGGGACCUUUCCACCACAGAUGAUGAGUUACAAGAUCUCUGGGAGUCAAUCCUCGUGAGGCACAAUCUGCCGGAUUGUCACCACCUGGGACGUGGUGCCAUAAUGCAUCUGGGACACUGUUUUGGAUGUCCGCUACACGACAUACGUUCGCCAUCGAGAUGGAUGGCCUUGAAUCCAUCCUAGGGUAACAAACGAAUCCGAUCAUAAAUGCAGUGGUGCCUUAGUGAGCUUGAGAGUUGAUCGAAUGUGAGAAGCAAGUCUUGCAAGAAGUAAUGCUGCACAUAGUUCUAAACGAGAUUACGGCAGCAUAGGCUCUUUCAGAUGCAUCAGCGAAUCUGUGGAUCUCAACGUCGGCGUCUUGUUCGGAUAAUCCGAUCCAUUGAGGAAUCUUUUCAAGAUGAUGAAGCUCAGUUUGAAAAUCACGCCAGUGACGUCUGAAUGCCUCAUCAAGAGAAGAAUCCUAAUCCAGACCUUUUAACCAGGUUGACUGGAAAGCAAUCUUGGCACUUAUAACAGCUGGUGCAAGUCAACCAAGAAGAUCAAAUAAUCGUGCAGAUUGGAAAAUUCUCACUUGGCGUCGCCAAAGUGGCCAAAUCACUGGCCAAACUAGGAAUGGAUUCAAUGAUAGCAGUGGAAAUUAAACAGAUGUUAGAGAGAGAAUUCAAUAUUUUAUUGACAGCACAAGAUAUUCAAAAUCUCAAUUUUGUUAAACUUAAACAAAUGAUAAAUACAGACAAGCAAGAAGAGGUCCCUGAUAUCAUUGAUGCUGAAGCAAAUAAGUUGGAUGGAUUAAACAUGUUGACACGAAAACUCAACGAUUCGGAUUUAAAUCGAGAUAUUUAUAUAGAAGUCGGUACAUAAGGGAAGAUGUUGAAAGAGAAAUAUUUCUUAUACUAGGAAUUGAUGGUUGUGCCAGAGUAUAUAAACUGAUAGAAUCGAAAAUUGAAUCUUCAACGAUGUGUUAUUUGCAAAUAUUUCAUACUCGGGAUGUUAGUCGUUCAAUAACGAAAUCAGCAGCAUAUCUUCUGCCUGUAUAAAAUUAUAAGAUAAUAUAUUUGAAAUAAUCAUGAACAUACUUUUUUUACGUACUGUAUUAUAUAUAUGCAUGUUUCGUUUUCUAGUAUAUAGUGGAGAAAAUGAAAAGUCGAAAGGAGUUUCUUAUUGUGGGUUAUUCAUUUGGAUGUUUAAUUGCUAUCGAAUUGACAAAAUUAUUGAAAGCCGAAAAUUUUCUAGACGUUUAAUACUUAUAGACGGAGCUCCUGGUUUAAUAAAAUUUUUCAUUGACAAAAUUCUUAAUUAUCCGUCGGAUUAAGAACUACAAAAUGACAUUUUAAUUUGUUUUGUAGAAAUGUAUCUUGGAUCUAGCAAUGAAACGUUUGCAUCAGAGCUGAAUAAGUGCAAUACUUGGGAGGAAAAGUUAGAAGUAUUUUCCCAUUUUUCAAAGAAUAUUACUGCAUUAACUGUUAAAAAUCGGAAUAUUUUAUGUUCAACAAUUUACGAUCAUAUAAUCGCUGUAAAAGAUUACAAUAUAUCUUUGUUGCCGUGCUUAAAAUCAUCUGUAAUACUAUUAAAACACACUUACGCUCUUCACUUUUUUCGAAGAGGAUUAUGGUCUACAUAAGGUUAUCGAAAGUAAAGUACAAGUUCAUUAUGUGGAAGGUACUCAUAUUACAAUGAUGGACAAAAUAGCUUUAUUUUGUUAUAGCCCGAAAGGCUAUAAUUAUAAAUAUAGCGGAUAUAAAAUAUAGAAUUACUAUAUUUUUCGCGAGGAGACCGUUGAUACAGCAGCGGGCCGGAAACCGCAAAGACGCAAGCUAAGAGCUUCAUCUUUCGAGCAGCUUAGCGCGAGCUCAAAAUCUAGCCGCGUAAGCAAAAGCUAUUCAUCAAUCGGGUGCCUGUCGCCAGGCACCCCUUCCAAACGAAAAACCGAGUUCACGUAAGAACUCGGGAGUGAACAGAGAGUGAGUUCAACUAGACCGAUCACCCGAGUCACAUCAAGGAUAACUCCCGAUUCGAACUCAAACGAGUCGUUAGCUAAAGUUCGAAUAAAUCUAGAGUCGCAUCAAGCGAGCGGAAAAGAGAAACGAAGUUACCAGAGGUCUAGAAAUAAAUGUACGCAGAGUCUCGAUUUAGGUUGUAUAUCAAUAUAUUGAAUAAA